CCUUAAAACUAGCCUACCUACCAAUUUAACUAAACCUUAUUAAUUAAAUUUACACCAAAACCUCUACUUAAAACAUUUUAACCUUUUUAGUAUGGGUGACAGAAAAAAACCUCAGCGCAAUAGCUUAUGUACCGCAAGGGAACACUGAAAAAGAAAUGAAAUAAAUCAUUAAAGUAUUAAAAAGCAGAGACCCUCCCUCGUACCUUUUGCAUCAUGGUUUAGCUAGAAAAACUAGGCAAAAAGACUUUAAGUCUACCUCCCCGAAACUAAACGAGCUACUUCGAAGCAGCAUUAUUAGAGCCAACCCGUCUCUGUGGCAAAAGAGUGGGAAGACUUCCAAGUAGCGGUGAAAAGCCUACCGAGUUUAGUGAUAGCUGGUUACCCAAAAAAAGAACUUUAGUUCUGCAUUAAUUUUUAAUAACUAAAUAAGACCUCCUUAUUAAAGUAAUACAUAAGAAUUAAUAGUUAUUUAGAAGAGGUACAGCCCUUCUAAAUUAAGAUACAACUUUCUAAGGUGGGAAAUGAUCAUAAUUAUUAAGGCUUUUCCCCCCAGUGGGCCUAAAAGCAGCCACCUGUAAAGCAAGCGUCGCAGCUCCAGCCUUAUAAAAGCCCAUAAUUCAGAUACUUACUCAUAACCCCCUUAACACUAUUGGGUUAUUUUAUAAAACUAUAAAAGAACUUAUGCUAAAAUGAGUAAUAUGAGAAUAAACCUCUCCCGACACAAGUGUAUGUCAGAAAGAAUUAAAUCACUGAUAAUUAAACGACCCCAAUUUGAGGACAUUAUAGACUUAUAUAAUUAACUAGAAAACCCUAUUUUAUUACUCGUUAAUCCUACACAGGAGUGUCUCAAGGAAAGAUUAAAAGAAAAUAAAGGAACUCGGCAAACACAAACUCCGCCUGUUUACCAAAAACAUCGCCUCUUGCUAAACUAUAAGAGGUCCCGCCUGCCCUGUGAUAAUAUUUUAACGGCCGCGGUAUUUUGACCGUGCAAAGGUAGCGUAAUCACUUGUCUUUUAAAUGAAGACCCGUAUGAAAGGCACCACGAGAGUUUAACUGUCUCUAUUUUCUAAUCAAUGAAAUUGAUCUAUUCGUGCAGAAGCGAAUAUAAUAACAUAAGACGAGAAGACCCUAUGGAGCUUCAAACACUUAGACUAAUUAUGUAAAUUUUUUUACCCUUAGGGCAUAAACAAAAAUACAAUACUCCUAGUUUAACUGUUUUUGGUUGGGGCGACCGAGGGGUAAAAUAAAACCCCCUUAUCGACCGAACACUUAGUGUUUGAAAAUUAGAAUGACAAUUCUAAUUAAUAAAAUAUUUAUCGAAAAAUGACCCAGGAAUUCCUGAUCAAUGAACCAAGUUACCCUAGGGAUAACAGCGCAAUCCCUUCCCAGAGUUCCUAUCGACGAAAG
Molecule: ribosomal RNA, 1407 nt
Filed under: Apristurus exsanguis
Lineage: Eukaryota; Metazoa; Chordata; Chondrichthyes; Carcharhiniformes; Scyliorhinidae
Description: partial 16S ribosomal RNA
Rfam family: Bacterial large subunit ribosomal RNA
Source: RNAcentral